GGGGGCGUGGCGUAACUUUGGUCAGCCGCGAUGGGCUUAAACCCCAUUGUCCGAAAGGACGUGCAGGUUCGAAUCCUGCCGCCCCUACCA
Molecule: transfer RNA, 90 nt
Filed under: Candidatus Rokuibacteriota bacterium
Lineage: Bacteria; Candidatus Rokuibacteriota
Also listed under: 1 other name
Description: Candidatus Rokubacteria bacterium tRNA-Leu
Rfam family: tRNA
About the family: Transfer RNA (tRNA) molecules are approximately 80 nucleotides in length. Their secondary structure includes four short double-helical elements and three loops (D, anti-codon, and T loops).
Source: RNAcentral